This 242-nucleotide unclassified non-coding RNA is filed under the name uncultured fungus. RNAcentral's name for it is "sequence contains ITS1, 5.8S rRNA gene". The stretch from base 194 to 242 matches the Rfam family "5.8S ribosomal RNA", at positions 1 to 49 of the family's 154-position model. Lineage: Eukaryota; Fungi. The record is from RNAcentral.
UUUCCGUAGGUGAACCUGCGGAAGGAUCAUUAUCGAGUUCCUGCCCCCUGGGUAGAUCUCCCACCCUUGAAUAUCUUACCAUGUUGCCUUGGCAGGGCGUCCUUGACGGCCACUGGCUUCAGCUGGUGUGUCCCUGCCAUAGGACCUUCAACUCUGCAUCAUUGGUGUCGUCUGAGUACUAUACAAUUAUAAAAACUUUCAACAACGGAUCUCUUGGUUCUGGCAUCGAUGAAGAACGCAGC